ACAGUGGAGAGUCUGAAGGAGCAAUGCGCCUUGAGUGAAGAGGGGUUUCGGGUGUUAAAACUCUGUUGUUAAAGAAAAACACCUUUGAGAGUAACUGUUCAAGGGUUGACGGUAUUUAACCAGAAAGCCACGGCUAACUAC
Molecule: ribosomal RNA, 141 nt
Filed under: uncultured bacterium
Lineage: Bacteria
Description: partial 16S rRNA
Source: RNAcentral